Molecule: ribosomal RNA, 316 nt
Filed under: uncultured bacterium
Lineage: Bacteria
Description: bacterial SSU rRNA
Rfam family: Bacterial small subunit ribosomal RNA
Source: RNAcentral
GACGAACGCUGGCGGCGUGCCUAAUACAUGCAAGUAGAACGCUGAGGACUGGUGCUUGCACUGGUCUAAGGAGUUGCGAACGGGUGAGUAACGCGUAGGUAACCUACCUCAUAGCGGGGGAUAACUAUUGGAAACGAUAGCUAAUACCGCAUGACAAUAGGGUACACAUGUACCCUAUUUAAAAGGGGCAAAUGCUUCACUAUGAGAUGGACCUGCGUUGUAUUAGCUAGUUGGUAGGGUAACGGCUUACCUAGGCGACGAUCCCUAGCUGGUCUGAGAGGAUGACCAGCCACACUGGAACUGAGACACGGUCCAG